This 1549-nucleotide ribosomal RNA is filed under the name Klebsiella pneumoniae. Its description in RNAcentral is "bacterial SSU rRNA". It matches the Rfam family "Bacterial small subunit ribosomal RNA". The record is from RNAcentral. Lineage: Bacteria; Pseudomonadati; Pseudomonadota; Gammaproteobacteria; Enterobacterales; Enterobacteriaceae.
AAAUUGAAGAGUUUGAUCAUGGCUCAGAUUGAACGCUGGCGGCAGGCCUAACACAUGCAAGUCGAGCGGUAGCACAGAGAGCUUGCUCUCGGGUGACGAGCGGCGGACGGGUGAGUAAUGUCUGGGAAACUGCCUGAUGGAGGGGGAUAACUACUGGAAACGGUAGCUAAUACCGCAUAACGUCGCAAGACCAAAGUGGGGGACCUUCGGGCCUCAUGCCAUCAGAUGUGCCCAGAUGGGAUUAGCUAGUAGGUGGGGUAACGGCUCACCUAGGCGACGAUCCCUAGCUGGUCUGAGAGGAUGACCAGCCACACUGGAACUGAGACACGGUCCAGACUCCUACGGGAGGCAGCAGUGGGGAAUAUUGCACAAUGGGCGCAAGCCUGAUGCAGCCAUGCCGCGUGUGUGAAGAAGGCCUUCGGGUUGUAAAGCACUUUCAGCGGGGAGGAAGGCGAUAAGGUUAAUAACCUUGUCGAUUGACGUUACCCGCAGAAGAAGCACCGGCUAACUCCGUGCCAGCAGCCGCGGUAAUACGGAGGGUGCAAGCGUUAAUCGGAAUUACUGGGCGUAAAGCGCACGCAGGCGGUCUGUCAAGUCGGAUGUGAAAUCCCCGGGCUCAACCUGGGAACUGCAUUCGAAACUGGCAGGCUAGAGUCUUGUAGAGGGGGGUAGAAUUCCAGGUGUAGCGGUGAAAUGCGUAGAGAUCUGGAGGAAUACCGGUGGCGAAGGCGGCCCCUGGACAAAGACUGACGCUCAGGUGCGAAAGCGUGGGGAGCAAACAGGAUUAGAUACCCUGGUAGUCCACGCCGUAAACGAUGUCGAUUUGGAGGUUGUGCCCUUGAGGCGUGGCUUCCGGAGCUAACGCGUUAAAUCGACCGCCUGGGGAGUACGGCCGCAAGGUUAAAACUCAAAUGAAUUGACGGGGGCCCGCACAAGCGGUGGAGCAUGUGGUUUAAUUCGAUGCAACGCGAAGAACCUUACCUGGUCUUGACAUCCACAGAACUUUCCAGAGAUGGAUUGGUGCCUUCGGGAACUGUGAGACAGGUGCUGCAUGGCUGUCGUCAGCUCGUGUUGUGAAAUGUUGGGUUAAGUCCCGCAACGAGCGCAACCCUUAUCCUUUGUUGCCAGCGGUCCGGCCGGGAACUCAAAGGAGACUGCCAGUGAUAAACUGGAGGAAGGUGGGGAUGACGUCAAGUCAUCAUGGCCCUUACGACCAGGGCUACACACGUGCUACAAUGGCAUAUACAAAGAGAAGCGACCUCGCGAGAGCAAGCGGACCUCAUAAAGUAUGUCGUAGUCCGGAUUGGAGUCUGCAACUCGACUCCAUGAAGUCGGAAUCGCUAGUAAUCGUAGAUCAGAAUGCUACGGUGAAUACGUUCCCGGGCCUUGUACACACCGCCCGUCACACCAUGGGAGUGGGUUGCAAAAGAAGUAGGUAGCUUAACCUUCGGGAGGGCGCUUACCACUUUGUGAUUCAUGACUGGGGUGAAGUCGUAACAAGGUAACCGUAGGGGAACCUGCGGUUGGAUCACCUCCUUACCUUAAAGAA